GGAUGAAGCAUCCAAAGGGAUCGCAUUGAUCCGUCAUGAGAGAGAGAGAGACCAGUACAGAGUUUUAGAGAGAGAAAGGGAGAUACCAGUUUAGAGAGUGAGAGUCGAAAGAUUGAUGGAUCAUGCGAUCCCUUUGGAUACCUCCUC
Molecule: non-coding RNA, 147 nt
Organism: Amborella trichopoda
Lineage: Eukaryota; Viridiplantae; Streptophyta; Magnoliopsida; Amborellales; Amborellaceae
Source: Rfam